AUGGAUGACCUCUCCGGCCGCACCGCCGCCUCGCCUCCGCCUCCGCCUCUUACUCUUCCACUUCCGCAUGACAACCUCCUCCUGGAGAUCCUCCUGCGGCUACCGCCUGAGCCAAUCUACCUCCUCCGCGCCUCCCUCGUCUCCAAGCACUGGCGCCGCCUCGUCCACGACGCCAGGUUCCUCCGCCGCUUCCGCGCGUUCCACGGGGCGCCUCCUGUGCUCGGCUUCCUCAACAACCAGCCGGGGCCUCCCCUCUUCGUCCCCACCUCCGACGCCUUCGCUGCAGUCCCCUCCUCCAUGAUGUCCCACGACUCUUGGUGGGCCUUGGACUGCCGCCACGGCCGCGCCCUCCUCCAACACAGGAACUCCGGGAAUCUCCUGGUCUGGCACCUCAUGUCCGGCGAGCAGCGCUGCUUGCCGCGGCCGCCGCCGGCGCUCGAUGGCUACGAUUGCGGACCCGGCUUCAACGCCGCGGUCCUCCGCGCGGCCGGCAACGAGGACCGCCUCGACUGCCGCUCCUGCCCGUUCCUCGUGGCCGUAGCGCUCACCCACGGCGGCCAUGCUGACCUGACCUCCGCCUGCGUCUACUCGUCUAAGACCGGCGUCUGGGGAGACGUCAUCUCCGUCGCCACGCUAGAGGAAGUUGAGGCCCGGCCGACGACUCUGGUCGGAAACACGCUCUACUGGCCAAUGACCGCCGGUUGCAUCCUUGAAUUUGAUGUGGACAAAUAUAGCUUGGAUACAAGUGAGGUGCCAAACGAUAUGUUUUGCUACUAUGAGGGCCUGAUUGUCCUCAUGCCGGCGGAGCAUGGAGGCCUUGGCUUUGCAGCAGUUGACGGUCUCAGUCUCCAUCUCUUCUCAAGGGUGGCUACCACUGACGGCACUCUAGUCUGGACGCUUUGCCGGGCCAUUGAUCUGAACAAGUUUCUUACGCCGGAUGUGGUGGUGAGCUGUAAGACGUUUUCAAUGGAGGCAAUUGGCGUCGCUGAAGGUGCUGAUGUGGUUUUCAUUUAUGCGUGUAAAUGCGCCUACAUGCUUCAUCUCAAGUCUAUGCAGUUUGAUGAGGUGUCCGUUAAAGGAACCUAUGCCAGCAUUUUUCCAUACACCAGUUUCUAUACCCCGGUACUACCAUGUCUUUUAUCCUCUAGGAAUGAUAAAGUGUAG
Molecule: ribosomal RNA, 1164 nt
Filed under: Triticum aestivum (bread wheat)
Lineage: Eukaryota; Viridiplantae; Streptophyta; Magnoliopsida; Poales; Poaceae
Description: partial small subunit ribosomal RNA
Source: RNAcentral